UACGGAGGGGGCAAGCGUUACUCGGAAUUAUUGGGCGUAAAGGGCGCGUAGGCGGUCUCGUGCGUCAGGGGUGAAAUCCCCGGGCUUAACCCGGGACGUGCCUCUGAUACGGCGAGACUUGAGUCCGGGAGAGGGGAGCAGAAUUCCCAGUGUAGCGGUGAAAUGCGUAGAUAUUGGGAGGAAUACCAGUGGCGAAGGCGGCUCCCUGGACCGGUACUGACGCUGAGGUGCGAAAGCGUGGGGAGCAAACAGGAUUAGAAACCCCGGUAGU
This 271-nucleotide ribosomal RNA is filed under the name uncultured bacterium. Its description in RNAcentral is "partial 16S ribosomal RNA". It matches the Rfam family "Bacterial small subunit ribosomal RNA", at positions 524 to 794 of the family's 1533-position model. The record is from RNAcentral.